Oncorhynchus nerka (sockeye salmon) is the source of this 583-nucleotide long non-coding RNA. RefSeq lists it as uncharacterized. The transcript is spliced from 2 exons. The record is from RefSeq and is a predicted model, not a curated record. NCBI's taxonomy places the organism in Eukaryota, Metazoa, Chordata, Actinopteri, Salmoniformes, Salmonidae.
GCUCCUUCGAUAUAAAGUUGUUUUUGACGAGCAUUUUAAAAAGGUAUCCGUUUAUUUUCACGAGGUUAGAGUAGUAAAAUGUUCAACUACUAAAGACAUUGGCUGGUUGUGCCUUUAGAUUUCGAGAACGUACAUCUAAAGAAUAAUUGUUCACUUCUCUAAUUUACUUCUCAAACUCCGUUCUGAUCUACUUCGAAAGCGUUCCCGGAAGUCGUAAGAUGUUGCGCCUCUGUGUUUUUAUAAACUCUGUGUCGGUGUUUUCGUUUUCCCCAUCCAGGCUCUAUGAAAAGACAACUGGGCCGAUGCACCUGAAAUCAAAACGACACUCCGUAGCUUUCUUAUGACUCAUAUUUAUAGUCUCUUCUUUACCAGGAGGUACGGUAAAGAGGAACCACAACCCCUUUUCCAUACUGCUUUCUGAUUGGGUUAUUCCUAUCACGUGAUCCAGAAGUGAAAGGAUUCUGGUUUUUCGGGAGGUGAACCUGAAGCCAUCAUCAUGCAGAGCACAGCCAACUACCUGUGGCUCAUCUCAGACCUGCUGGGCCAGGGAGCUACAGCUAACGUCUACCGUGGCAGACACAAG